This 96-nucleotide small nucleolar RNA is filed under the name Mytilus galloprovincialis (Mediterranean mussel). The record is from RNAcentral. Lineage: Eukaryota; Metazoa; Mollusca; Bivalvia; Mytilida; Mytilidae.
UCCUGGUUUAUACAUUAUGAUGAAUAGGGUAAUCAUGUGACUGCAUGAGACAUGUCUCCUUCUAACUUGUUACGCAGAAGGCAUGUUCCCAUCUGA